Molecule: non-coding RNA, 28 nt
Filed under: Rattus norvegicus (Norway rat)
Lineage: Eukaryota; Metazoa; Chordata; Mammalia; Rodentia; Muridae
Source: RNAcentral
UGGGAUUAAAAGUGGGCACCUCCACCCU